CUGGGUCAUUGUGCAGAAUGUCACGGAGGGUAGGAUAGAAUGCUGUGUUUUUUAAAAAGGGGGAGGGGUAAAAGAAUACACGCUGUUUUAAACUUAAAUCAAGUAUAGUCUCAUGCAAAUCAUUGUCAUGGUUCAAAAUGGCACAGGUUUAUUACUACAACCACUGAACCAGUAAUUCUGGUUAUCCUUUCUCUUGAAUAUUCUGCUCAAUUAAAUGCCAUUGGGCUUGGUUUGCUCUGCU
Molecule: non-coding RNA, 241 nt
Organism: Pelobates cultripes (western spadefoot toad)
Lineage: Eukaryota; Metazoa; Chordata; Amphibia; Anura; Pelobatidae
Source: the annotation of a GenBank genome assembly